ACGGGUGAGUAACGCGUGGGAAUCUACCGUGCCCUGCGGAAUAGCUCCGGGAAACUGGAAUUAAUACCGCAUACGCCCUACGGGGGAAAGAUUUAUCGGGGUAUGAUGAGCCCGCGUUGGAUUAGCUAGUUGGUGGGGUAAAGGCCUACCAAGGCGACGAUCCAUAGCUGGUCUGAGAGGAUGAUCAGCCACAUUGGGACUGAGACACGGCCCAAACUCCUACGGGAGGCAGCAGUGGGGAAUAUUGGACAAUGGGCGCAAGCCUGAUCCAGCCAUGCCGCGUGAGUGAUGAAGGCCUUAGGGUUGUAAAGCUCUUUCACCGGAGAAGAUAAUGACGGUAUCCGGAGAAGAAGCCCCGGCUAACUUCGUGCCAGCAGCCGCGGUAAUACGAAGGGGGCUAGCGUUGUUCGGAAUUACUGGGCGUAAAGCGCGCGUAGGCGGAUAUUUAAGUCAGGGGUGAAAUCCCAGAGCUCAACUCUGGAACUGCCUUCGAUACUGGGUAUCUUGAGUAUGGAAGAGGUAAGUGGAAUUCCGAGUGUAGAGGUGAAAUUCGUAGA
Molecule: ribosomal RNA, 557 nt
Filed under: uncultured bacterium
Lineage: Bacteria
Description: bacterial SSU rRNA
Rfam family: Bacterial small subunit ribosomal RNA
Source: RNAcentral